This 450-nucleotide ribosomal RNA is filed under the name uncultured bacterium. RNAcentral's name for it is "partial 16S ribosomal RNA". It matches the Rfam family "Bacterial small subunit ribosomal RNA", at positions 354 to 796 of the family's 1533-position model. The record is from RNAcentral.
GUGGGGAAUUUUGGACAAUGGGCGCAAGCCUGAUCCAGCAAUGCCGCGUGCAGGAAGAAGGCCUUCGGGUUGUAAACUGCUUUUGUACGGAACGAAAAGGCUCUGGUUAAUACCUGGGGCUCAUGACGGUACCGUAAGAAUAAGCACCGGCUAACUACGUGCCAGCAGCCGCGGUAAUACGUAGGGUGCAAGCGUUAAUCGGAAUUACUGGGCGUAAAGCGUGCGCAGGCGGUUUUGUAAGACAGAGGUGAAAUCCCCGGGCUCAACCUGGGAAUUGCCGUUGUGACUGAAAGGCUGGAGUGCGGCAGAGGGGGAUGGAAUUCAGCGUGUAGCAGUGAAAUGCGUAGAUAUGCGGAGGAACACCGAUGGCGAAGGCAAUCCCCUGGGCCUGCACUGACGCUCAUGCAAGAAAGCGUGGGGAGCAAACAGGAUUAGAAACCCUAGUAGUCC